Long non-coding RNA from Labeo rohita (rohu), 1364 nucleotides. RefSeq lists it as uncharacterized. The transcript has 4 exons. The record is from RefSeq and is a predicted model, not a curated record. Lineage: Eukaryota; Metazoa; Chordata; Actinopteri; Cypriniformes; Cyprinidae.
CUUUCUCAACGUGUCGAGUUCGAUCUUCUCAUCGCCUCAUUCGUUAGGACACUCGAGAGCUUCAAUCAGGACUGCAACAAGACUGCAAUUCCAGUGAAACCAUUUUCAGGAAGUGAUAUUGUGUAUUUUUCCCACUUGAUUUCAACUGUACAAACUGAGGGAGAAGGACGACAGGAACAUUUGCAUGCUAUUGGAUAUUACUGUAGCAGAAAGAACAAAAGUGGAAACAAGCAUGCAGAUUCAAAGAGAAGUGCAUUAUUAGUUGAUCUGAUGAAAAAAACAUUUGUCCUCUAACUGCAUAGACCAAAUUAAAUUCACAAGCAAGAUGCCAAGAAGACAUAGCAUGGGAGAACCUCCUGAAUUUUUUAUAAAUGAUGAAGGACCAGUAGUGGAGGAGGAGAAGUCGUGGUGGAAACUAUUAGCGGGAGUAGCAACAACAGCAGCAUUAAUAGCAGCAAAAGUAACAAAAUCAGGAGGAGCAGCAAAAGUGGGAGCAGCAGUAGCAGCAGCAGCAACAGGACCAGCAGCAGUAGCAGGAGCUGCAGCAGUGGUAGCAGUAGUAGCAGGAGUAAUGAUAGUAAGAAAACAAAAACAAAACUAAAAAAAUAGUUUAAAAAAAUAGUUUCUGGACAUUUCUCUGAAUUAUUUAUGAGAAUGAAACUUUUAAUCCAAUCACUGUGCCCUAUUAUGCAUGAUAUUGCAUUACAAUGGAGAAUUUAAAUGUCACAAAUGUAAAGACUGUUUCAGUGCUACUCAUUCACCUCUGCCUGUUCAACUUUGUGUUGUCAGUCAGACACGUCCUCGGUACAGCAACACAAACGUGUUAUUUGCAUUUUCCCCACAAUGCGGAUAUAACUGGAGUUUACCAACAUAUGGAAAAUAUGACUGUAACAAUAUUUAAUAUGUAACAACGUGCAAAGCACACGGGCGGUUUCACUGCGGAGCACUGAGAUGAGUUCAAUAACAUGCAUUCAAUAACACGGAUCACAGUUCAUAUCCAAACCAGAGCAAGUGUGACAGUUUGAAAAAAAAAAAAAACAUUUAAAGGAUUAUUUAAUCCUAAUCUGCUAGUACUGUGUAAAAUAAAGUCAUGUAUAGGAAACCCUAAAAUACGCCAUGUGUUUUGAAAAUAAUGCAGAUAUUGUGUGUGUGUGUGUGUGUGUGUGUGUGCGCAUGUGUGCGUGUGUGCGCGCAUGUGUGCACAAUGAAUCAGUGCUUUUAUUUAGAUUUAGGGUAGUUCAUUGCAUUUUGCUUUUGGUAUUUUUUAAACAAAAAUGUCAUUUAGUUUUGCCCAUGAUGGUCUUGCUCACCCGUGUGAGGAUUAUUUGUUAUACAUUCUAUGACCUGUAGAUGACAACUGUGUG